GAGUGGGAGGGAGGGGACCCAACCCCUCCCCCCCACCCCCACCCUUCUCUUCUGGUCCAGUGAGGCUGAGCCGACCCGAACUCAGUGCUGCCGCCCGCGAGACCUGCUGCCUGAAGCUGGUCUGGCAGCUGCCCCCGGGGGAGCUGCUGGUGGCUGGCGAAGCGCAGUACCAACUCCGCUACAGGGCUGGGCCGGAGGCUCCGUGGGUGCAGGUGGGGGUUCCCGCACCUUGGGGGAGGGGUGGAAAUAGAGGAUACCCCUGACUUGGCUUCUGUUUGCCUCCUGUGCCCUUUGCCCUCCUGGCCCCUCUGCCUGGGCUCAUUGUCCCAGACCUUUCGGGGCUGGCCAGUGAGGGGACGAGGUGCCACUGUCCUCCCCAAUAGCUCAAUGCCGUGGUCUCUGGCGAUGCCCUGCCCAUCUCCCAGGACAUCUGCAGCCUCUCGCCGUACACCAACUACUCGGUCCAGGUGCGGGCAAAGUACCGGAGUCCUGUCAGCUCCUGGAGCGACUGGAGUGCUGAGAGGACGGCAGCCACUCUGCCUGAGGCCCCCAGCGUGGGUCCCAGGCUGUGGAGGAGGAUGGGCCCAGCCCACCCCAAUGGGAGCCGGAAGGUGGCGGUGAUGUGGAAGGUAAGAGGCUGAAGACUUCAGCAUCCAUGGCGAAGGGAGGAGCACCCAGAGUCCCCCCAAGCUUCCCUUUUCUCCCCCCCUCCCACUAUCACCCUUCCUGUCCCCUCCCAGUCCAAGGCUCUCUGAGUCCCACAUUGGCUGCUGGGCAGUUGUGCCAAUCCCCAGUCAUUCAAUCAGUUGAGCACUUGCUAUGUGCAGAGCAUUGUACUAAGACCUUGGAAGC
RNAcentral lists this long non-coding RNA (852 nucleotides) under Ornithorhynchus anatinus (platypus). Its description in RNAcentral is "lncRNA (ENSOANG00000051079.1)". Lineage: Eukaryota; Metazoa; Chordata; Mammalia; Monotremata; Ornithorhynchidae. The record is from RNAcentral.